This 277-nucleotide unclassified non-coding RNA is filed under the name uncultured Marasmiaceae. Its description in RNAcentral is "sequence contains ITS2". Lineage: Eukaryota; Fungi; Basidiomycota; Agaricomycetes; Agaricales. The record is from RNAcentral.
AAUUCUCAACUUCAGAAGCUUUGUCUUUUUGAAGCUUGGAUGUGAAGGCUUGCUGGCGUUUUAAAUGUUCAGCUCCUUUGAAAUGCAUUAGUGGACCCAUUUGUGUUUAGCUUUAGUGUGAUAAUUAUCUACGCUAUAGUAUUGAAUGCAUGCUCAUUUAGAACUUCGAAGUGUUCCAUACAUUUUCGGUGUGGGGAGUUGCACAUUUGCUCUCUCUGUCUAUAUGAGUUUGGCUUGUCUGCUUCUAACCGUCUGCUUUGUGUGGACAACUUGAACC